This is a long non-coding RNA of Xenopus laevis (African clawed frog), 4518 nucleotides long. RefSeq lists it as uncharacterized. The record is from RefSeq and is a predicted model, not a curated record. Lineage: Eukaryota; Metazoa; Chordata; Amphibia; Anura; Pipidae. The transcript is spliced from 4 exons.
GCUCCAUAUUGCACUGAACGCAGAACAUUUUUUCAAGUGGAAAUAUAUUACGGACGCACGGCUUUUUGGUGCAUUGCCGGUUACGGGCUUUCUAUGUGAUUGGGAUUAUAUUUCCAGCUCUAGCAACUGUGUAGCCUCAGGCGAUUGAUUAGUCCAACCUAUUAUGGCUCCAGGGAUGCAUGCGCCUCUGAGGAGUUCCAAGCCUGGAAUCGGUUACCGAGCACUUAGAUAUCCAGAAAUGCAACUUGGAGAUCCAGUGUCCGACGGGGAUGCCUUUGUUCUCCAAGUUUAUUUUUUUCUAUAAGUCUAUCUAUUUAGCCUCUUUGUUCCCAAACAGAAGUAGGUAAUGACAAUGAAACAGGCCAAAUGGUUAGAAGCAGGAGGGCCCACUGACACUUGGGCCCACCGGGAGUUAUCCUGGUGGGCCAGUCCGACACUGUGGAGAUCCUGUACAGCAAACCCAAAGUUACAGAACUCGGGUAGAGCAGAACUAUACAGAGGUUGUCGUUAUAUAGUUGGAGAGCUGAGGUAAAGAUGCCCCACUUACCAUCCCCGGUGCUGUCUCAUUUCAGGCCUCUCCUGAUGUUCCUGAAGCAUCGAACAGUAACCCAGCCAAUUUCAGACAUUCCCGGAGUCCCCACAUCCCACCCCACUUUGCCAGAAUGAGCACCCCAUCACAGGAAGGUGGGCAUCUAUACCCUCAAGGACAAUACCCCAUGGGGUACAUGCCCCAGAUGAGACCAGGAGAGCCUUACGGCAAUGCCAGGGGAGGCCAAAAUACAGACAGAGGAGGAAGGACAAACAAGUGAAGGAGGACAGGCAGACAGGCCUGAGAGCCCGAAACUGAGAGUCACAAGACACAGUGUGGAAACUUUGGGUAAGGAAGGCCACAGCCUUCGGGGAAUGGCAUCUUCCACCCCAUCCCAAUAUGAUUCUGCAGCCUCCCUAUUCACCCCAGCACCAUUACAGACCUCAAGAGUACCCCAUGCCACCUGUGCAUGCCACGCAGCCCCCUGCUCAAGGUGACACUAAUGGCUACUCUGCUCUGUGGCCCACUUACCAGAACGUGGAUAACAACAGAAGACACUUUCAUGCUGUCAAGAUGGAGCAAAGUGGCAACAUUCCCCCUUUCCAGAAUAUGUACCGACCCCAGUGGUGAGUAUUGUGGCAAGUGUAUUGCUGGCAUCUGGUCGCUGGCAUCUGGUCGCUAGCAUCUCCAGUUACUACUGAACUACAACUCCCAGUAUUUUCUGUUCUUCUGGUAUUUAAUCCAAUCCAAUGUGAAUACGAGUUAGAGUAUAUCAUGUUUAGGGGGGCCAGGUCCCUUUGCCCCCCGUUCUGAUGCCCCAAGUGUUACAGCUCUGGGGGAAAAAAUCAUUAGAGCUCUGGAAAAGUGCUACAGCUCUUGAUGUAUGGCCAGAUCCAGUGGUGCUGAUCUCCACCUUCGUUGAUCGUCUGACUUCCUGGCGACAUAUGAUGUUGCUAGCUGCAUACUCUUCAUUGCCCUGUUUUCUUCAUGGUCGGGUCCGCUUCAUCACUGGGAGACUCUUCCUCUUCUGUUGCCCUGCGAUGCCCCUUUCAGAAGUUGCUCUUCUUCCAGAACUGCGCUGAUGACGUCUUGUACCACCUGAAUCCACCACAGGAUCUCUUGUAGCUUGCCCUUGUGGUCCUUUCCAGCAAUCCUUUACCUCUUCUACUUCUUCUAAAAAUUGAAAAAUACUAAUAUGGUAACUAUUUCACCUACAGUUGGACUGACUUCUAAUGAACCAGAAGUGAAUCUUUAAAAAAGCUUUUUUAAAACUUGGGUUUACUGAUACAUUUUGGUUUUUAGGCUGGUAUCAUUUUAGUUCAGUGUUAUAUAAUAUGCUUUAUAUAUUCGUUUUCUAUUCCUAGUUAAGCAACAAUAUAUUCCUCAUUUCCGAAACCUGAUGUGACCGUUAUUAUUAUCAAUGGACAUGCCACAGAUAUUACAGAUCUGUUAUCAUGGCUGUGCAGCCCUUUCCAUGCUAGCUCUGUAAAGUUAUUAUGGAAGAAGGGGGAGCACUGGCAACUCUUCAGGCGAUGAAAGAACAUCCACAGGACACAGUGUUCAGAAACGGGGCUGCAUGGUCAUCAGGAACCUUGUCUCUCGAAUUUGGGAUUUCUCACAGCCUAUCCUGGAAAUGGGAGCAGAGUCCCUUAUUCUCCAAGCCCGUAGUGCUCAUAAACAUUGCAAUGAUGUGGCCAAAGCUGCUCUGAGAGAUCUUGGUUGCAAAGUGGAGCUCAAGGAACUAUGGACUGGCCAAAAGGGUAGCUUAGUUCACUAGAGUUAUAAAUAAAUUAAAAAAUCAAUUUGCAGCUUAAAGAGACAAAGGUAAUGUUGGAAAGUUUAUACAGUAACUCCAUCCAUCCCUUUUACAGCCAAUAAGUAAAGUUUUUUUUUUUUUACUUACUUUGUACAACACAUAGCCUACAGUUGCUGUCUGAAAUUUAGGGCACCAAAAAAGUUUUACUGAAAGGAAGAAAAAGCCCAACCAUGACAGCGUUUAACACAGAGAAUAACAUGGCAAUUUUUUAUGUUAUCUCCACAUUGGUGGUUACAUGAAUCAGUAAAGCAGCUGUAGGAUUAAAGAAAUCUAUGAUGCUAAUCAUUAUGCUUUUCCUAAAGCUUUAGCCUCCACCAGUGUUAACUGAUUACACAGCUCUUGCAGUUUAUAAUAUAGCACUGUGGUUUUAAUUCAGGAUAAAGCUAUGAGCAUAAGACUCUUGUGGGCUUAGGUUUCUGGGCUCUGUAUCUGUUUUACUACUCAAACUAACUGUUAGUAAGAAGUGAGCAUCGCCCUGCUUAAUGUGCAUUAGUUAGAAAUGCAAAUAUGUUUGCAUUGUGCUCUUUCUACAUUGAACAGCAAGAAGAUACUUGCAGUGAUGCAAAAUGUGUGAAUGAGCUUCAACUGUGAAAUAUUAAUUGCUUUAUUUAUUUGUGUAUGUAUGCAGUAUUAUGCUUCAAUUAUUUACACCCUUGUUAAUAAAUAUGUAUCCCUUUUGUGAAUAUCUUCAUAAAAGGAAAAGUCUAAAGCACAGAUUGUGAUGCCAACAAUCUCUGAAACUUAUAGUAAAAAAUGCAAAAACAAUUUGAAUUUGAUUUGAAGCCCCUCAAUAAUUCCUAAACUGGAGUACAACAUCUACAAAAUAUUAUAUCCAUUUGCUCUACUGCCUGCUUGAAAUACAGGGAAAAUUGGCUCUAGUUUAUUUUUCAGGGCUUUUUAUUAUUAUUACUAGGUCUGUUAUCUGCAUUGUGCAGAUCUGAUCUUCUACAUGUUAUUUGCAAUAAAUACUGUGUUGGGGAGCAAAGCUUUCUAGAUUUUAAUGAUGGUCAGAUUAUAGACAAUUUUAGCUAUAAAGAUUUGCAUACCCCCAACAUUUGAAAAAUGCAAAGAGACAAAAACAUCAGCGUCAGUAUUAUAACAGUUUUGCUAAUGACGAUGAAACUGCCCUUAAAGCUGAAAGGCUCAGUUCUCCCAAGAGACCUGCUUAUCUUAACUAGUUACAAUUGUAUCUUUGCUUAACUUAAAUUGUUAGAAAUGCAUCUAAUUGCAGGUGCUGAGUAUUAUGGGCUGUCUGCCAAAAAGACUCUUAUUCACGUAAAAGAGGAGAGGGCUGCGAAGCAGAAGAGUCUGGGGAGGUGCUUGAAGGUGGGGGGCUGGCGGAAAAGCAGAGAGUAUAGUGGGAGGAAAAGGCAAUCAAGAGAAAGCAGCAGGGCCAGUCCUUCCACACUGAGGAGAGCACGGUUGGACUGGGGGGCCCAGGCUCACCAGGGCUUCUGCCUCAGGGUCCCCAUUUUGGACCGUGGGGCUGCUGCCUCAGGGCCUCCCGUCUGGCAACCAUUCCGGUGUGGGUGUGUGCAUGCAAGUAAACGUGCGCACCCAAACUGCUUUUUUGCCGUGACCGGUCGGUCGCGCCAGGAAGAGAACUAGGGUGCGGAUCUGGCCCAAUGGGGCCCACUAGAGCCGGGGGCCCACCGGGUUUUUUCCCGGUGUCCCACCAGCCCAGUCCGAACCUGAGUGGGGGCCGCUCUUUUGCUAAUCUCACAAAGUUGCACAUGCCUCACUCGUUAGCAGCUUGAGACUGACAUGCUUCUUUUAUACACAAUUUAUGUGGGGUUAGUGCACAAAGUGCAUGCAUGAUCAAUGGUUAGUAUUACUGCUCAUUUACCAGUGCAAGUGCAAGGUUUUACCUGGAAUUAUCAUUAACAUGUAAUUAUAAAGUGCUAACUUAUUCUGUAGCGCUGUACAAUAAAUUAGUUUAUACACAUUUUAUAUUAUAAAAAUAUUUCUAAAGCACCAACACACUCUGUAGUGCAGUGCAAUAAUUGGGUAAAUAUAUUGAACAUUCAAAUUAAAAGAAAAAAUAGAUACAAAAGUUAGAGGGCCCAGAUGUGCUUUCAUUCCUAUUAAUAUUAAUAAUCAUUUUCCUUUUGAAGGAAUUUAUACACAUAUAAAUAUUUGUUUAAAACAGCUUGCUCUGAAAGUGUAUUCUGCC